ACCCUAAACCCUACCUAACCCUAAACCCUACCUAACCCUAAACCCUUUCUAACCCUAAACCCUACCUAAACCUAACCCAAAAACCCUAUCUAAACCUAACCAUAAAUCCCAUCUAACGCUAAAAUUCUACCAACCCUAAAUACUAAAAAAUAAUCUCAAAACUUAAAGCUAAAAAAACCUAAAUUAUACCGCUAUGUAAUUUGGUUGUUGUGAUAUUCAACUAACAAAUUAUAUUGUGAAUUUUAAAUCUUACAUCCAUUAUUUUAAUUGCCAAAAUAUUUUGAAAGUCACAUCUUAUGAAUAAAAAAGGUAAAUUAUAUUUUAAUAACGUUAAAUUUUGUUAAAAUAGAAUGAAAAACAAUUAUCACAAAUAAUUUGUCUAAACCCUAAACCCUACUAACUCUAAACCCUACUAACCCUAAACCCUACUAACCCUAAACCCUACCUAACCCUAAACCCUACCUAACCCUAAACCCUACUAACCCUAAAGCCUACCUAACCCUAAACCGUACCAACCCUAAACCCUACCUAACCCCAAACUCUACCUAACCCUAAACCCUACCUACCCUAAAAUCCUACCUAACCCUAAACCCUUCCUAACCCUAAACCCUACCUAACCCUAAACCCUGCUAACCCUAAACCCUGCCUAAACAUAAAUCCUAUCUAACGCUAAAACUCUACCAACCCUAAACACGAAAAAAUAAUCUCAAAACUUAAAGCUAAAAAAACCUAAACUCUACCGCUAUGUAAUUUGUUGUUGUGAUAUUCA
This 769-nucleotide long non-coding RNA is filed under the name Brassica napus (rape). RNAcentral's name for it is "long non-coding RNA (BNAP_LNC026129)". Lineage: Eukaryota; Viridiplantae; Streptophyta; Magnoliopsida; Brassicales; Brassicaceae. The record is from RNAcentral.